CCUACGGGAGGCAGCAGUGGGGGAUAUUGCACAAUGGGGGAAACCCUGAUGCAGCGACGCCGCGUGUGGGAAGACGGUCCUCUGGAUUGUAAACCACUGUCCCCAGGGACGAAGUUGACGGUACCUGGGGAGGAAGCUCCGGCUAACUACGUGCCAGCAGGCCCGGUACUACGUAGGGAGCGAGCGUUGACCGGAAUUACUGGGUGUAACGGGAUCGUAGGCGGGGAUGCAAGUUGGGUGUAAAAACUAGCGGCUCAACUGGUAGUCGCACUUGAAACUGCAGCUCUUGAGUGAAGUAGAGGUAAGCGGAAUUCCUAGUGUAGCGGGGAAAUGCGUAGAUAUUAGGAGGAACACCAGUGGCGAAGGCGGCCUGCUGGGCUUUUACUGACGCUGAGGCUCGAAAGUGUGGGGAGCAAACAGGAUUAGAUACCCUUGUAGUC
This 440-nucleotide ribosomal RNA is filed under the name uncultured bacterium. Its description in RNAcentral is "partial 16S ribosomal RNA". It matches the Rfam family "Bacterial small subunit ribosomal RNA", at positions 338 to 795 of the family's 1533-position model. The record is from RNAcentral.